This 1127-nucleotide ribosomal RNA is filed under the name uncultured bacterium. Its description in RNAcentral is "partial 16S ribosomal RNA". It matches the Rfam family "Bacterial small subunit ribosomal RNA", at positions 236 to 1377 of the family's 1533-position model. The record is from RNAcentral.
UCCCAUUAGAUAGUUGGUGAGGUAACGGCCCACCAAGUCAGCGAUGGGUAGCCGAGCUGAGAGGCUGAUCGGCCACACUGGAACUGAGACACGGUCCAGACUCCUACGGGAGGCAGCAGUAGGGAAUAUUGGGCAAUGGGGGAAACCCUGACCCAGCAACGCCGCGUGAAGGAAGAAGGCCUUCGGGUUGUAAACUUCUGUGACAGGGGAAGAAAGAAAUGACGGUACCCUGAGAGGAAGCCCCGGCUAACUACGUGCCAGCAGCCGCGGUAAUACGUAGGGGGCAAGCGUUGUCCGGAUUUACUGGGCGUAAAGGGCGCGCAGGUGGGCUUGAUAGUUAGAUGUGAAAUACCAGGGCUUAACCCUGGAGCUGCAUCUGAAACUGGCGAGCUAGAGUAUGGCAGAGGUAAGUGGAAUUCCUAGUGUAGCGGUGAAAUGCGUAGAUAUUAGGAGGAACACCAGUGGCGAAGGCGACUUACUGGACUGUAACUGACGCUGAGGCGCGAAAGCGUGGGGAGCAAACAGGAUUAGAUACCCUGGUAGUCCACGCCGUAAACGAUGAGUGCUAGGUGUCGGGGGUAUCGACCCCCUCGGUGCCACAGCUAACGCAAUAAGCACUCCGCCUGGGGAGUACGGUCGCAAGACUGAAACUCAAAGGAAUUGACGGGGGCCCGCACAAGCGGUGGAGCAUGUGGUUUAAUUCGACGCAACGCGAAGAACCUUACCAGGUCUUGACAUCCCGGGAAUCUUGUGGAAACACGAGAGUGCCUCGCAAGAGGAGCCUGGUGACAGGUGCUGCAUGGCUGCCGUCAGCUCGUGUCGUGAUUGGGUUAAGUCCCGCAACGAGCGCAACCCUUAUUUUCAGUUACUAACGCGUGAUGGCGAGGACUCUGAAGAGACUGCCGAGGAUAACUCGGAGGAAGGUGGGGAUGACGUCAAAUCAUCAUGCCCCUUAUGAUCUGGGCUACACACGUGCUACAAUGGCGAUAACAAAGGGCNNNNNNNNNNNNNNNNNNNNNNNNNNNNUAAAGCCGGUCUCAGUUCGGAUCGUGGGCUGCAACCCGCCCACGUGAAGCCGGAGUUGCUAGUAAUCGCGAAUCAGCAUGUCGCGGUGAAUGCGUUCCCGG